GGGUAAGAUCAUACCAGCACUAAUGCACCAGAUCCCAUCAGAACCUUGCAGUUAAGCGUGCUUGGGCGAGAGUAGUUCUAGGAUUGGUGACCUCGUGGGAAGUCCUCGUGUUGCACCCC
Molecule: non-coding RNA, 119 nt
Organism: Gossypium arboreum
Lineage: Eukaryota; Viridiplantae; Streptophyta; Magnoliopsida; Malvales; Malvaceae
Source: Rfam